AUUGAACGCUGGCGGCAGGCCUAACACAUGCAAGUCGAACGCGAGGCGGACGCGUGUGUAUUAUAUCGGAACGUCCCCCGUAGCGGGGGAUAACUCCGCGAAAGACUAGCUCCUAUCGCACACUACUACCGCGGCCGCCAUCGGAUUAGCUAGCUGGUGGGGUAACGGCUCACCAAGGCGACGAUCCCUAGCUGGUUUGAGAGGACGACCAGCCACACUGGAACUGAGACACGGUCCAGACUCCUACGGGAGGCAGCAGUGGGGAAUUUUGGACAAUGGGAGAAAGCCUGAUGCAGCCAUGCCGCGUGUACGAAGAAGGCCUUCGGGUUGUAAAGUACUUUUGGCGAGGAGGCGUUACCUGCAGAAUAAGCACCGGCUAACUCCGUGCCAGCAGCCGCGGUAAUAC
Molecule: ribosomal RNA, 406 nt
Filed under: uncultured bacterium
Lineage: Bacteria
Description: partial 16S ribosomal RNA
Rfam family: Bacterial small subunit ribosomal RNA
Source: RNAcentral